Long non-coding RNA from Austrofundulus limnaeus, 895 nucleotides. RefSeq lists it as uncharacterized. The transcript has 3 exons. NCBI's taxonomy places the organism in Eukaryota, Metazoa, Chordata, Actinopteri, Cyprinodontiformes, Rivulidae. The record is from RefSeq and is a predicted model, not a curated record.
AGAAUGGCUGGCUGUAAUUCUGGGGCUCAUUUGUUGCAGGUGUGUUUCCUCACACCUGCGACUCAUCAGGCUCGUUCCUUCCUGGAUAAGAGGCUCUUGUGCAAGUCAAUCCUCGUCUGAGUUUUAACCUAUGUGGUUAUUUCUGAACCACUGUUUCCAAAUCUAUGGGUUUUCCAUGGACUACACCUAAACUCAUCAGAACAAACCUGUUGUCUCCUGGAUCAUAUCACCACGACUGGUAACAGUCAUGGCCGGAUUAACCAUAUGGGCAAUUGGGCAACUGCCCAGGGGCCCACGGUCUCUAAAGGGCCCUGGGCAGUGAAGGCACGGACACAACGGAUGCGGGAUGUGCGUGGGACAUGUCUCCCUGAGUCCCCGCACUUCCUGCAUCUGUGCUCUCUGUCCCCGCACUUUUCUCAGCCGUAACAGCUGUUUUAUCCAUUAUUAACAUACGGUAAUGCGUUUUCCUGAGCCGUCUUUUAACGCACCAUAAGCGUGCGCAGGGUACUCCUGCAGAUGACGGAUAGGAGACGUUCUUCUGACCACCCGCCUUCUGAGCAGAGCCUCACGGUGUAAAGAGCAACUAAAACUUGGCACAGUUUUUACCAAACAAACCAUAACAAGGUCAGGGAGGAGACAGCAGGGAUCAUAAUGCAGACUUUCCUCAGGUAAGGAGAAAUUAUGACUAUUAUUCUUGAAGUGGAACAGUCUUUAAAAACUGGUGUAUAGUUUGAAGUCUCUACUUUUGACAUAAUUUAUAACAGAGUCUCAGAAAAUUAACUACAGAAAGAUGGAGGUUAAACCACAACUGGAUCACAUGUUGUUGUUGAGAAACCAGACAGGUAUCAGGACAGGGUUUCCACAGAUAUUUCAGAACUCUUCAUACUCAAAAAUA